UAGAGUUUGAUCAUGGCUCAGGAUGAACGCUAGCGGCAGGCUUAACACAUGCAAGUCGAGGGGCAUCGGGAGGAAAGCUUGCUUUCCUUGCCGGCGACCGGCGCACGGGUGAGUAACACGUAUGCAACCUGCCCUCUUCAGGGGGACAACCUUCCGAAAGGGAGGCUAAUCCCGCGUAUAUCGGUUUCGGGCAUCCGAGAUCGAGGAAAGAUUCAUCGGAAGAGGAUGGGCAUGCGGCGCAUUAGCUUGACGGCGGGGUAACGGCCCACCGUGGCGACGAUGCGUAGGGGUUCUGAGAGGAAGGUCCCCCACACUGGUACUGAGACACGGACCAGACUCCUACGGGAGGCAGCAGUGAGGAAUAUUGGUCAAUGGGAGAGAUCCUGAACCAGCCAAGCCGCGUGAGGGAAGACGGCCCUAUGGGUUGUAAACCUCUUUUGUCGGAGAACAAAACCCGGGACGUGUCCCGGACUGCGUGUAUCCGAAGAAAAAGCAUCGGCUAACUCCGUGCCAGCAGCCGCGGUAAUACGGAGGAUGCGAGCGUUAUCCGGAUUUAUUGGGUUUAAAGGGUGCGUAGGCGGUCCGUUAAGUCAGCGGUAAAAUUGCGGGGCUCAACCCCGUCGAGCCGUUGAAACUGGCAGACUUGAGUUGGCGAGAAGUACGCGGAAUGCGCGGUGUAGCGGUGAAAUGCAUAGAUAUCGCGCAGAACUCCGAUUGCGAAGGCAGCGUACCGGCGCCAGACUGACGCUGAGGCUCGAAAGCGUGGGGAGCAAACAGGAUUAGAUACCCUGGUAG
Molecule: ribosomal RNA, 795 nt
Filed under: uncultured bacterium
Lineage: Bacteria
Description: bacterial SSU rRNA
Rfam family: Bacterial small subunit ribosomal RNA
Source: RNAcentral